This 1126-nucleotide long non-coding RNA is filed under the name Felis catus (domestic cat). RNAcentral's name for it is "lncRNA (ENSFCAG00000050281.1)". Lineage: Eukaryota; Metazoa; Chordata; Mammalia; Carnivora; Felidae. The record is from RNAcentral.
AAAAAGAUUGAGGUUUCCUUCAUAUGUUUCUAAAAACAAUAAAGGAAUUUCUCUUUGAAAUAUAUUCAGUUGACAGAUCUGAAUUUAGCCAAAAGGAAGAGAAUUAGAAAAUGUUUUAACCAAAUUGCCUCUUCUGUCAAUUCCUGAAGGAUCUAAAAAGUAUUAUUUUCAAUUUUAUGUAAGGAGCACAGGUAGCUUUAUACUUUCAUGAAAUACUUAAGCCAGAGAAAUAAAAUACCCUCCGAUUGUUCAGUUCAGUUUGGUCCCAUUCCUUCCUUUAAUUUUGUGUGGUAUGUUUUGUUUAGCUUUUAAUAUGGACUCGGGAGAGCUAAGCGGUGGGUGGUGCUUGGUUUUAUUUUGUAUACAGUAUUUUGGGCAUUAUUAAAAAUGUUUUAUUAUUUUCACAUGGAGUAGUAAAAAUCCUUUAAAAUUAAACCAAACACAGGGCAGAAUUGAAGAUAACAAAUAAUUCAGUUUUUUGUGGAAAAUUCCCACUGAAAAAUAGUUCUGUCUGGCAUGUGUCUCAGUUUUGUCUCAGCCAUGGUGCUAAGCAACCACUGCAGAACCGGGUUGGUUAUAUGCUAAAGAAAUGGAGAUAAUUGCUGAGGAAGAGAGGAGUGCCCUGAAGACUGGAAACGCUGAGAAUCCUUUCGGAGGCAAAAUUAAUGACAGAGAGACUGCUUCUUUCAGCUCAUUGGUCAGGACUCCACCUGUCUCCACCUAAUGACAAGGAAGCUAGUGCAUGUGAUCCUAUUGUGUCCCAAAGGCAGAGCUCUAAUGACCACAGCAGCUACUUCUGUCACCACCCUGAUGCUACUUUGCCCCUGGAAUUCCAUUCAGCCUACACCACUACUGUUAUUACCAAUGAGAGAGAACAAGCUCUUGGUCCCUUUUUUCUUGUGUCACUGGCUCCAGAGUUCCGAAUUUGUCAUAGGGGAGUCUGCUUGACAGAACUCAGGUCAGAGGUCUGUGCUGUAACAUUUUCAGUUCCUGUAAGCUCUAAAACUUGACCCUUCAGAACUCCUAAAGUGGAGAAAUUCCUAAGCAUAAAAAUUCUAUAACAAUUAUAUGUUGGAUAUCUGCAAAAUGUAAUAAAUUCCCACCCAGGAUUGUGACUUUUGAGACA